Molecule: ribosomal RNA, 512 nt
Filed under: uncultured bacterium
Lineage: Bacteria
Description: bacterial SSU rRNA
Rfam family: Bacterial small subunit ribosomal RNA
Source: RNAcentral
GAGUUUGAUCCUGGCUCAGAUUGAACGCUGGCGGCAGGCCUAACACAUGCAAGUCGAGCGGUAGAGAGAAGCUUGCUUCUCUUGAGAGCGGCGGACGGGUGAGUAAUGCCUAGGAAUCUGCCUGGUAGUGGGGGAUAACGCUCGGAAACGGACGCUAAUACCGCAUACGUCCUACGGGAGAAAGCAGGGACCUUCGGGCCUUGCGCUAUCAGAUGAGCCUAGGUCGGAUUAGCUAGUUGGUGAGGUAAUGGCUCACCAAGGCGACGAUCCGUAACUGGUCUGAGAGGAUGAUCAGUCACACUGGAACUGAGACACGGUCCAGACUCCUACGGGAGGCAGCAGUGGGGAAUAUUGGACAAUGGGCGAAAGCCUGAUCCAGCCAUGCCGCGUGUGUGAAGAAGGUCUUCGGAUUGUAAAGCACUUUAAGUUGGGAGGAAGGGCAGUAAAUUAAUACUUUGCUGUUUUGACGUUACCGACAGAAUAAGCACCGGCUAACUCUGUGCCAGCCGCCG